ACUGUUUAAGGCUAAAGGUUCAAAAAGGAUAUAAUAUUUCAAGCACUUUGGGUGAAAAUUUGGCUAGAGAAGGGUUUUCAAAAAUGGCCUUGAUCAUAUGACAUUCACAUGCAAUUCAAUCGAUCAUCAAGAUUAAGGCAAUAUCAUCCAUGUUGUCCUAUGAACAAUGCAUACAUCAAUAAAAACUCUGGAGCUCAAAAUCUCACACACAUGCUUUCUCACACAAAAUUCAUUCAUAC
This 239-nucleotide long non-coding RNA is filed under the name Vigna radiata. Its description in RNAcentral is "long non-coding RNA (VRAD_LNC002066)". Lineage: Eukaryota; Viridiplantae; Streptophyta; Magnoliopsida; Fabales; Fabaceae. The record is from RNAcentral.